AGAGUUUGAUCCUGGCUCAGGAUGAACGCUGGCGGCGUGCCUAAUACAUGCAAGUCGAGCGAACGGACGAGAAGCUUGCUUCUCUGAUGUUAGCGGCGGACGGGUGAGUAACACGUGGAUAACCUACCUAUAAGACUGGGAUAACUUCGGGAAACCGGAGCUAAUACCGGAUAAUAUUUUGAACCGCAUGGUUCAAAAGUGAAAGACGGUCUUGCUGUCACUUAUAGAUGGAUCCGCGCUGCAUUAGCUAGUUGGUAAGGUAACGGCUUACCAAGGCAACGAUGCAUAGCCGACCUGAGAGGGUGAUCGGCCACACUGGAACUGAGACACGGUCCAGACUCCUACGGGAGGCAGCAGUAGGGAAUCUUCCGCAAUGGGCGAAAGCCUGACGGAGCAACGCCGCGUGAGUGAUGAAGGUCUUCGGAUCGUAAAACUCUGUUAUUAGGGAAGAACAUAUGUGUAAGUAACUGUGCACAUCUUGACGGUACCUAAUCAGAAAGCCACGGCUAACUACGUGCCAGCAGCCGCGGUAAUACGUAGGUGGCAAGCGUUAUCCGGAAUUAUUGGGCGUAAAGCGCGCGUAGGCGGUUUUUUAAGUCUGAUGUGAAAGCCCACGGCUCAACCGUGGAGGGUCAUUGGAAACUGGAAAACUUGAGUGCAGAAGAGGAAAGUGGAAUUCCAUGUGUAGCGGUGAAAUGCGCAGAGAUAUGGAGGAACACCAGUGGCGAAGGCGACUUUCUGGUCUGUAACUGACGCUGAUGUGCGAAAGCGUGGGGAUCAAACAGGAUUAGAUACCCUGGUAGUCCACGCCGUAAACGAUGAGUGCUAAGUGUUAGGGGGUUUCCGCCCCUUAGUGCUGCAGCUAACGCAUUAAGCACUCCGCCUGGGGAGUACGACCGCAAGGUUGAAACUCAAAGGAAUUGACGGGGACCCGCACAAGCGGUGGAGCAUGUGGUUUAAUUCGAAGCAACGCGAAGAACCUUACCAAAUCUUGACAUCCUUUGACAACUCUAGAGAUAGAGCCUUCCCCUUCGGGGGACAAAG
RNAcentral lists this ribosomal RNA (1044 nucleotides) under Staphylococcus aureus 110802495. Its description in RNAcentral is "bacterial SSU rRNA". It matches the Rfam family "Bacterial small subunit ribosomal RNA", at positions 8 to 1031 of the family's 1533-position model. Lineage: Bacteria; Bacillati; Bacillota; Bacilli; Caryophanales; Staphylococcaceae. The record is from RNAcentral.